ACUCAAAUGAAUUGACGGGGGCCCGCACAAGCGGCGGAGCAUGCGGAUUAAUUCGAUGCAACGCGAAGAACCUUACCUGGGUUUGACAUAUGCCGGAAACAUCUAGAGAUAGGUGCCCCGCAAGGUCGGUAUACAGGUGGUGCAUGGCUGUCGUCAGCUCGUGUCGUGAGAUGUUGGGUUAAGUCCCGCAACGAGCGCAACCCUCGUUCUAUGUUGCCAGCGGUUCGGCCGGGAACUCAUAGAAGACUGCCGGGGUCAACUCGGAGGAAGGUGGGGAUGACGUCAAGUCAUCAUGCCCCUUAUGUCCAGGGCUUCACGCAUGCUACAAUGGCUGGUACAAAGGGCUGCGAUAUCGCAAGAUGGAGCGAAUCCCAUAAAGCCAGUCUCAGUUCGGAUUGGGGUCUGCAACUCGACCCCAUGAAGUCGGAGUCGCUAGUAAUCGCAGAUCAGCAACGCUGCGGUGAAUACGUUCCCGGGCCUUGUACACACCGCCCGU
This 496-nucleotide ribosomal RNA is filed under the name uncultured bacterium. Its description in RNAcentral is "bacterial SSU rRNA". It matches the Rfam family "Bacterial small subunit ribosomal RNA", at positions 899 to 1397 of the family's 1533-position model. The record is from RNAcentral.